AACACUGGACUUAAUUCAGGAUUGAAAGUAGUAGCCAUGGCCAGUGGCACUGUGUAGAAGUACCCUAAAUUAAUGGGGUCAGGUAUUACAAGACUCUCAGAGAUGUGACUUUCUAGGAUGUAUAAGAUAUUGAUGUAGAGACUGUGAUGUCAUAUAGGAAGGGGAGAUUUGCAAAGGGAGUGGAUAAUGUGGAGAGGUCCGCAGGCCCCUAUAUGUAUUGUGGCAAUUGAAGGAGAAGCACAGGUGCACCGGCACUACAACAACCACAAUGCCCUUAGAUACACAGAGAAUGGGCCGAUGAUGCAGUGACUCUUAAUGGAUUACAGAUCCAUAAAAACAAGCCUGAAAACGGUUCCUGAGGAUUUGGCAAAAGAAAUACGUUGAACCGGAGUGUAACAAGGAUUUACAAAUACACCGGGAAGCAUCAACAG
Molecule: long non-coding RNA, 431 nt
Organism: Hyla sarda
Lineage: Eukaryota; Metazoa; Chordata; Amphibia; Anura; Hylidae
Exons: 3
Source: RefSeq, a predicted model, not a curated record